Molecule: long non-coding RNA, 2705 nt
Organism: Pleuronectes platessa (European plaice)
Lineage: Eukaryota; Metazoa; Chordata; Actinopteri; Pleuronectiformes; Pleuronectidae
Exons: 4
Source: RefSeq, a predicted model, not a curated record
UUUUCAUCCUGACUGUGUGGUUGCAGGUGUUUGCCAUGUGUCUUUUGAGUAAUGUUCAAUGCAAUGGCAGCUGAAGCAGCAUGGGAGAGAGGAAGGUAAAUGCACUUUAUUCUAUGACGGGCCAUUCAGGGUUCAGUAUCUUGCUCAAGGACACUUCGGCAUGCAGAUGGGGAAGACUGGGAUCGAGCCGCCGGCUUUGUGGUUGGAUGACAAUCAGCCACAGCUGCCCUUAAGGUUACAAGGACACUUCAGCAUGCGGACUAGAGAAAACUGGGAUCAAACUGCAAACCUUCUGCUUAGAGGAUGACCGCUCUAACCCCUGAGCCACAGGGACAGAAGCUACUGCAGAGAGAGUCAAAGUCAAAGUCAAAGUGAACUUUAUUGUCAUUCAGACCUUACAACAAGAAGUGCACAGCAGAAUGAAAUUGGGUUUCUCCUAGCUCCAUGUGCAUGUAGGAUGUAAGGGCGGAAGACAGCAGCCCACAGAGGCAACAGGUGAGACUGACAGCAAAUAACCCCCUCCCAAUGGCUAAAAAAUGUACAUUUGAUUGACAAAAUUUUAAAAAGAAAUGUUAGCAUCCUUAAAGGCCUCCCUAUUAAAACUAAAGUAAAAUCCAAUGAUCCACUGUGUCAAAUGCUUGUUGCAUGUCAAGAAUUACCAUUCUACAACACCGGCCACUGUCAACUUCCUUUUAGAUGUGAUUGGUUAUAUGAAUCAUGCAAAUCUCAACUGAAUAACACCAAGGCCCAAUCCCAUUUCACCCCUUGGCCCCUUAGCCCAUCCUCUUCGUUUUGCGCAUUCACGUGUAGGGGUAGGCUGUCCCAAAACCUGUUGGGACAGAGGGGUAUGGCCGAGGCGUAGGACUUUAUAGCCCUCGAAACUGAAGUUUCUGAAGCUUGAGGGUGGGUCAUGGGUCGCCUACUGGUUCGAUCACUCCUUUAGUCAAACAGUACAUUUCCCCUGAUGGUUGUACUGACAGUGUAUCAUAGAAAAAGGUUGUAUGAAUGUGUGUGUCAAUAAGACUGGAAAUGAGCUAUAGAAAUACACUCAAUGUAUUACAGGCUUAUUUAGUUUUAUAAUGUUUAAGCAGCGAACACCUCUGCAGCAUCUCUUCCAAGCAUCUGAACCUUCUCUAUGUUUUUCCUGAAGUAAAACUUAUUGGCCUCAUCUAACAUUCUUUGCACUUUUUUUCCGAGGGUAUUGUAUUUAUUAUGUAAAAUGGGCACAUUGUUUCCUUCUUUCUCUUUAUUCAUUUUUUCGAUCAUUUCUUUCAUCAUCUACGACAGAGUCCUCUGUUUAAUCCUCGCCUAUUUUAACUGAGCUCGAAUCUGUAUUUAUCUGAUACAAAAGAUUCGCGGUAGUUGGACUGUGCACACUGAUUCUAGUAGGUUCAUUUAUCAAUUGUGGAGGACCAAGUAUCUUAAAGAGGUUUUACAGUUUAUUGUAAUAUGGACAAUUUUCACUAAAAAAAAUGUAUAUUAGUAGCCAUCUUGGAGGAUAACAAAUUACUUCAGUUAAAAAAAUCAUAACAGGCAUAGAUAUUUCAGGGCAGAUCAGGGCAAUCAGGUAUAUAGCACUGAUCAGUAUUGGUUUACUUUUAAGAAGAAAAAUAUAAUUUACUUCUUCAAGGUCAUUAGUUAAUUAAAAUCUUUUUGUUUAAGUCUAUAUUCACGUAAUGAUUUCAAGCUCAGUUAAGAUCAUGGGAAGUAUUGUCAGACUACUGCAUCUACCCAGUGCUUUUAAUAUAAAAAGUUUGAUAUAUUAUUUGAUCGAUACACUGUCCAGUGUCAGUGAAAUAUUCUGCCACAACAGGAAUGCCACAAUCAAAUAAAAGCAGGGGUUUCUUUUCUUUUAUUAACAAUAAGGUAGAACUGUUACUGACAAAUAGCUAACAACUCUUAUUAUCUAUGUUGCUUUCACUGUUCGAAGGGGAGUAGACCUAAUCAGAAAACAAUAGGGGUAGGACAAUAUAUUGAUUCAGCAAUAUAUUGUCAUUGUUCCUCAAGAGAUACAAUUAUCGAUAUGCUGGUGCCAAAUAUCAACAUUAAGUUAUAGUUGGACUUUGGUUGGUUCAUAGCUAUUUUACAUUAGAAUGACAGCACAUGCUGACAUUGACAGUGGUUUAAAGAGGUAUAAAGAGGCACUGAGGUCAGACUUUUUUGUCUUGUUUCAUCUCAGUUUGUGUCAAACUGACAACAAAGUGCAGUUAAUAAAUACACAACUCCUGCACAUUACCUCUUCAGAGGCAUUUUGUAUUCUUCAGUAAGACAGAUCCAAUCAUGUAUCGUUAUGUUAUGUCUCGCAAAAUAUCAAUUAUAGCAGAAUGCAAUUGCGAUGUUAUAGUUAUAGUGGGCCAUGUAUUGUAUUGGAAAAAUUAACUAAGAGUGGUUGAAACUUUUUGCAGACCUGCCUAAGACUCCAUGACCUUAAAUGUUUAUGACCUGAAACCUGUUUGACCUUUCCAUUACUUAUUGACUGUCCAAAGAACCUAAUGGAAAUGUAUUUAAAUCAUUUGUUACUGUGCUUUAGUUCCUGUCUAAACCUACCCUACAGAACCAGUCUGAACUGGCUCAGGAAAACUUCCUUGUCCUCCUGUAUAAGACCCUUGUAUUUGACUGUUCUCCAUCUUCACUCUGAGAUCCUUAGGAAUUUUGGUGUGUUGAUCCUUUCUGCAGAAAGCCCCUUAUUAAAUACACGUAGAUAA